This 388-nucleotide ribosomal RNA is filed under the name Potamyia chekiangensis. RNAcentral describes it as "partial 28S ribosomal RNA". Lineage: Eukaryota; Metazoa; Arthropoda; Insecta; Trichoptera; Hydropsychidae. The record is from RNAcentral.
GUGGAACUCGAGCGAGCGAACGGGGAGAUUCAUCGCUUUUUCGGGRGUCCGCGGUGCGGAGAGACGGUUUGGCUUCGGUCCGACUGCACUUCGCGUCGCAGAAAGGCUCUCGAACGGCGUGCACUUCUCCCUUAGUAAAACACCGCGACCCGUUGGCGUUUCGGUCGAACUCGCCGUGCGGUUGUCCCGUCUUAKUWUWCUAAGAUGGAGCCGCGGCGYUGUGGCCGAAAUCCGACGGUAACGAACGAGGCUCGCGUCCGCUCAUAGAGCGUCCGCGCCGUGGCGACGUCCCUUUCUCUGCGGGUCUUCGACGUAACGCGUCAAGGCUCGCWCUGCGAAGGUCGUGCUGUCCCGGCGCUCGGACGGGACGCGUCCCGGUCUGCGGUGG